CGGUAAUUCCAGCUCCAAUAGCGUAUAUUAAAGUUGUUGUGGUUAAAAAGCUCGUAGUCGAACCUUGGGCCUGGCUGGCCGGUCCCCCUCACCGGGUGCACUGAUCCAGCCGGGCCUUUCCCUCUGCGGAACCCCAUGGCCUUCACUGGCUGUGCGGGGGAAACAGGACUUUUACUGUGAAAAAAUUAGAGUGCUCCAGGCAGGCCUAUGCUCGAAUACAUUAGCAUGGAAUAAUAGAAUAGGACGUGUGGUUCUAUUUUGUUGGUUUCUAGGACCGCCGUAAUGAUUAAUAGGGACAGUCGGGGGCAUCAGUAUUCAGUUGUCAGAGGUGAAAUUCUUGGAUCUACUGAAGACUAACUACUGCGAAAGCAUUUGCCAAGGAUGUUUUCAUUGAUAAGGAACGAAAGUUAGGGGAUCGAAGACGAUCAGAUACCGUCGUAGUCUUAACUAUAAACUAUGCCGACUAGGGAUCGGACGAUGUUAUUAUUUGACGCGUUCGGCACCUUUCGAGAAAUCAAAGUGCUUGGGCUCCAGGGGGAGUAUGGUCGCAAGGCUGAAACUUAAAGAAAUUGACGGAAGGGCACCACCAGGGGUGGAACCUGCGGCUUAAUUUGACUCAACACGGGGAAACUCACCAGGUCCAGACACAGUGAGGAUUGACAGAUUGAGAGCUCUUUCUUGAUUCUGUGGGUGGUGGUGCAUGGCCGUUCUUAGUUGGUGGAGUGAUUUGUCUGCUUAAUUGCGAUAACGAACGAGACCUUAACCUGCUAAAUAGCCCGUACUGCUCUGGCAGUUCGCUGGCUUCUUAGAGGGACUAUCGGCUCAAGCCGAUGGAAGUUUGAGGCAAUAACAGGUCUGUGAUGCCCUUAGAUGUCCUGGGCC
RNAcentral lists this ribosomal RNA (882 nucleotides) under uncultured fungus. Its description in RNAcentral is "SSU rRNA". It matches the Rfam family "Eukaryotic small subunit ribosomal RNA", at positions 577 to 1488 of the family's 1831-position model. Lineage: Eukaryota; Fungi. The record is from RNAcentral.